Sceloporus undulatus (fence lizard) is the source of this 837-nucleotide long non-coding RNA. RefSeq lists it as uncharacterized. The record is from RefSeq and is a predicted model, not a curated record. The transcript is spliced from 3 exons. Lineage: Eukaryota; Metazoa; Chordata; Lepidosauria; Squamata; Phrynosomatidae.
UCCUCUUUGCCAGCUCUGUGCAGGCUGCUGUGGAGUUUGCCGAGAAGACCCGGUAGCCACUUCUGGCCGCAUUCAUUGCCAAGGAAUCAUGCAAACCCCUCGGAACUCGAGAGUGAGAAAAAACAGAUUUAUAAGUUUGUAACACCUUUCCUGAUGAAGAAGCCAGUGGAGCUUCCAAAGCUUGCAACAUUUGAUUGGCCACUAAAGAUGCAAAAAAGUCAAGAAAAUCACCUUCAUUGGCCAAGAAAGCCACUGCGCUGGAUCUUCCUGUCACUCUCCCACAGGGAACCAUGAUGGUUGUGCUGUCUUUUCGGGAUGCCACCUGCUGGCAUCCAUCUGUAACUGCUGGUCCCCUGAAACCUCUGAACUAAAUUGCAUCCUCUAAAUAAGACAAUACUGUAUAAAGAACAAUUUGACAAAACCUUGCCUCUUGGAAACAAAACCAUCCAGGGGUUCCCUGAGGUCUUGCCAAGUGAAGUGGAUGAUUUUGGAAAUGAUUAAAGACGUACAUUGUUUGUGCUUCCUAUGGAUUAAAGGACACAAAUGUCAUUUCGUGGUUUAUUGUGAAAAUCCAGGACUUGUUAAGCAGCCUUCUCAGCCACAAAGAGAAAAUGAGCCCCCAAAUUUCUGCAUAAUAUUAAUAAAGUUGUGGCCUGAUAUGGUUUUUGCUGUUUUGAUUCCUGUUCUAGAAGUUGAGAUAAUGAUGCCAAUUCAACAAUAUUACUAAGGAGAAGACUCUGCUAAUCCCAAUUCUUGGAUCCAGCUGUACCACAUACUGCAGAAGAUAGUGUCUAAUGACAAAUCUGGUUGAUUUAGCAGAAAGAUUAAAUAAAAGAA